This 413-nucleotide ribosomal RNA is filed under the name uncultured bacterium. RNAcentral describes it as "bacterial SSU rRNA". It matches the Rfam family "Bacterial small subunit ribosomal RNA", at positions 945 to 1359 of the family's 1533-position model. The record is from RNAcentral.
AUUAAUUCGAUGCAACGCGAAGAACCUUACCUGGGUUUGACAUAUGCCGGAAAGCUGCAGAGGUGUAGCCCCCGCAAGGUCGGUAUACAGGUGGUGCAUGGCUGUCGUCAGCUCGUGUCGUGAGAUGUUGGGUUAAGUCCCGCAACGAGCGCAACCCUCGUCCUAUGUUGCCAGCGGGUCAUGCCGGGGACUCAUAGGAGACUGCCGGGGUCAACUCGGAGGAAGGUGGGGAUGACGUCAAGUCAUCAUGCCCCUUAAGUCCAGGGCUUCACGCAUGCUACAAUGGCUGGUACAAAGGGCUGCGAUACCGCAAGGUGGAGCGAAUCCCAAAAAGCCAGUCUCAGUUCGGAUUGGGGUCUGCAACUCGACCCCAUGAAGUCGGAGUCGCUAGUAAUCGCAGAUCAGCAACGCUG